This 301-nucleotide ribosomal RNA is filed under the name uncultured bacterium. Its description in RNAcentral is "partial 16S ribosomal RNA". It matches the Rfam family "Bacterial small subunit ribosomal RNA", at positions 509 to 809 of the family's 1533-position model. The record is from RNAcentral.
CAGUAGCCGCGGUAAUACGGAGGGUGCAAGCGUUAAUUGGAAUUACUGGGCGUAAAGCGCACGCAGGCGGUCUGACAAGUCAGAUGUGAAAUCCCCGGGCUUAACCUGGGAACUGCAUUUGAAACUGUCAGGCUGGAGUCUUGUAGAGGGGGGUGGAAUUCCAGGUGUAGCGGUGAAAUGCGUAGAGAUCUGGAGGAAUACCGGUGGCGAAGGCGGCCCCCUGGACAAAGACUGACGCUCAGGUGCGAAAGCGUGGGGAGCAAACAGGAUUAGAUACCCCGGUAGUCCCUGUUCUCUUAUA